UUUGAAUGUUCCCCGCGCGUUUUAGCUAGAUGGUGGGGUAACGGCUCCCCCAUGGCAAUGAUACGUAGCCGACCUGAGAGGGUAAUCGGCCACAUUGGGACUGAGACACGGCCCAAAUUCCUACGGGAGGCAGCAGUAGGGAAUCUUCCACAAUGGACGAAAGUCUGAUGGAGCAACGCCGCGUGAGUGAAGAAGGGUUUCGGCUCGUAAAACUCUGUUGUUAAAGAAGAACAUAUCUGAGAGUAACUGUUCAGGUAUUGACGGUAUUUAACCAGAAAGCCACGGCUAACUACGUGCCAGCAGCCGCGGUAAUACGUAGGUGGCAAGCGUUGUCCGGAUUUAUUGGGCGUAAAGCGAGCGCAGGCGGUUUUUUAAGUCUGAUGUGAAAGCCUUCGGCUCAACCGAAGAAGUGCAUCGGAAACUGGGAAACUUGAGUGCAGAAGAGGACAGUGGAACUCCAUGUGUAGCGGUGAAAUGCGUAGAUAUAUGGAAGAACACCAGUGGCGAAGGCGGCUGUCUGGUCUGUAACUGACGCUGAGGCUCGAAAGUAUGGGUAGCAAACAGGAUUAGAUACCCUGGUAGUCCAUACCGUAAACGAUGAAUGCUAAGUGUUGGAGGGUUUCCGCCCUUCAGUGCUGCAGCUAACGCAUUAAGCAUUCCGCCUGGGGAGUACGGCCGCAAGGCUGAAACUCAAAGGAAUUGACGGGGGCCCGCACAAGCGGUGGAGCAUGUGGUUUAAUUCGAAGCUACGCGAAGAACCUUACCAGGUCUUGACAUACUAUGCAAAUCUAAGAGAUUAGACGUUCCCUUCGGGGACAUGGAUACAGGUGGUGCAUGGUUGUCGUCAGCUCGUGUCGUGAGAUGUUGGGUUAAGUCCCGCAACGAGCGCAACCCUUAUUAUCAGUUGCCAGCAUUAAGUUGGGCACUCUGGUGAGACUGCCGGUGACAAACCGGAGGAAGGUGGGGAUGACGUCAAAUCAUCAUGCCCCUUAUGACCUGGGCUACACACGUGCUACAAUGGAUGGUACAACGAGUUGCGAACUCGCGAGAGUAAGCUAAUCUCUUAAAGCCAUUCUCAGUUCGGAUUGUAGGCUGCAACUCGCCUACAUGAAGUCGGAAUCGCUAGUAAUCGCGGAUCAGCAUGCCGCGGUGAAUACGUUCCCGGGCCUUGUACACACCGCCCGUCACACCAUGAGAGUUUGUAACACCCAAAGUCGGUGGGGUAACCUUUUAGGAACCAGCCGCCUAAGGUGACAGAGAUCGU
This 1264-nucleotide ribosomal RNA is filed under the name Lactiplantibacillus plantarum. Its description in RNAcentral is "bacterial SSU rRNA". It matches the Rfam family "Bacterial small subunit ribosomal RNA", at positions 220 to 1475 of the family's 1533-position model. The record is from RNAcentral. Lineage: Bacteria; Bacillati; Bacillota; Bacilli; Lactobacillales; Lactobacillaceae. RNAcentral also lists the same sequence under 1 other name.